Syngnathus typhle (broad-nosed pipefish) is the source of this 5080-nucleotide long non-coding RNA. RefSeq lists it as uncharacterized. The record is from RefSeq and is a predicted model, not a curated record. The transcript has 3 exons. Lineage: Eukaryota; Metazoa; Chordata; Actinopteri; Syngnathiformes; Syngnathidae.
AGAUUUGGCCGUUUUUUCACUCACAAACACGGAAGGAAUGUCAAUCUGCUUCAUUAUGUCCACUAGAAACCAAAAGAAUAGAAAUUUGAAGAAAAAAAAUAAUAAUCAAGACUUCUUGAUUGCUAAGUUUGGCUAUGUGAUAUUAUUGCAAAGUGAAAACCCAACUCAAACCAAGCUGAGGAUAGCCGAGUUGAGUUAUGCGGUGCCAAGGUGGCUAAAGAGGAUCUUCUUAUUUAAUACUUGAUUCAAAUGUUAGUGUUGACCAAUGUAUUCCACCACCAUCCGAUGUAAGGUUGGUGUCAUAGCUGUCUUGAAUGCAUGCUUAAUUGUCAAAUAUGACAAAGGUUGAACAUAAUUGGAAUGAAAGUCAACCUGACCGCAGCAGUGCUUUCAAGAAAAGUGAACGCCAAGGGAUGAGCAGCUGUAAUUGAGCUGCCAUUCUUAGCUGACCAGUUAUCAAGUGUGAUUUUACAGCUAUUACAGGAGCUUCACCAUGGAAAAAUAUCAGGAGCUGAGCUGCCAGCCAGGUGUGAAAAGGAGAUAUGGUUAAAUGGGGCACGUCUCAACAAGAAGAAACACGCCCGGCAGGUCUGUAAGCGAGCGUACGGCGAAUUUGCACCUCGUGGAUGAUUUAUCAUGCUGCUCCCCUUCAAGUGAGGACAGGGUACAGAUACUAUCAUGGUGACUAAAGCAGGCUGUGCUCAGCCACCGUAGGGCAUCGCAACAUUCCGGGAAACAUCUUGGGACUUGAUAGGGAGUCCUCAACUCUUCUCGGGCUUUGUAAGCAGGUAGCUGUUGAGGAAACUUACAAUCGUUGGAGCCCAUGCUGAUCAAGUCAUCGGAGUCCACAUUGUGAACAAUGGCUGCCUUGUACCCAGCUUUCUGUGCAUUGAGGACCUGGGAGAAGACAACAUUUGCAUCCUGGUUAGCAUAGAUUCAUUUGGAGUGCAUCAAGAAAGCUUCCCUCAUUUUGUUAUGUUCCAGCUGGAAGCAUCUAAAUGUAUUAUCACAUGUUGCAGAGAAUGAAGUAGAAUGGUGACAUGGUGGUGCAAGCAGCCCAUUCCCCAAGAGUCUUUACAAGAAACAACAAGCUUGCUUCACACACACCCAAGGCCCAUCGCAUUCCCUCGGAUACGAUAAACACACAACUUGCCCAUGCAGGUUCAUCUAAAACUCCAAGGAGACUUUCAUUCAAGAACAACCACGGUUUUUCAUACUGCAAGAAAAAACAGGACUUCAACAUGUUUGGUGGGUGGAGCAUUAGCUAUGAUCUCCUAGCAUAUAAAUUUCAUUUGAAGUAAUUUUAUGAUUACUUCCUUUUAUGACUGUGUUCUGUCAUAAAGUGACGUUUUGGACUGUGGUCAGUCAUAAAAUAACGGCUUGGUGCUCUGCCCCUUUGCACGGCGUUCUCACAAAGGCGAACCAAAUUUUGGGACGCCAUCCAGUCAAACUGGCCAAGGUGAAGAGUAAAGGACAGUGAGUCAGGACUUUGUCAUCUAGUCUGAGAGUCCACCACAAAGACCACGGAAAUGAUGGUGGACUUGAGAAAUCCAAGACCUCAUGUACCCUAUUAAAUUACUACAGUGGUGUGCGAUUAAAAAAAAAAGCAUUUUAUAAAGGAUGUUUGGGGGUGCAGCAUCUCAGCUGCCCAUGUUUGCUGCAUCAUGGAUGUGCAGGAAACGUAAUGAAUGAAUGGGCUCCCAUUCAGGACAGAAGCUGUGGUAUCCUGUUUAGUUAUUGUUAUAAUGGGCUCGCUGACAGCAGAUGUUGAGAAGGAAAUAGGAUGUGACAAAAUAAUCUUGUAAUAAUACAUUUGUGUUCUGGCCUUGAUAGACUUGGAACUAAGGAGUCAAACAACUGAUGAUUCACUGUCCUUUGACUUUCUAAUGAAGAUGAACAAAAAGGAAGGACUAUCAAUUUGUUGGAAUGAACUCAAUGUUGACAACUUUCAUUUAUUAUUAUGACAGAUGACUGACAAUCAAGGUAGUGACACUCAUGUUGACAUGUAUCUUCUCUUGACUUACAUGGUGUGUGUAUAUAUAUCAUAGAAUGACCAAGUUUAUCAUCUCAAAUCUUCAGAUUCUGAUUCUAGGAAAAAGAAAACCCCCCAAAAAACGCAAUGCUUUGACACUGUAGCUGUCCACUGUAGCUCAAACCAGCUUCUCACCGUAAAAUAACUCUGCCACCAUGCAAUCCAUUUAGAUCUGUGACGAGCCAACUGUGUAUGUGUGACGCUUAAGGCAGAACAGCCCUGUCUUUUGUCUGCGUCAUGUCAUUGUGAUUCUAUGAGCGUGCACGCAUAUGUUGAAUCGGUGUGUAUGGCAGUCGAACCAAUGUGACUGGAUGUGUUUGGCUAUGAAGGUGUAUUGUUUGGAUGUAUCAAUAGCCAUUAUCUGGAGGAGGGACAUGCAUGGACAAUUAUUGGAUUUGUGUGAUAAGAAGAGCUGACUCUAGCACCCUAAGCAUUGUAUCAAUCCAUAGACUGCAUAAAGAUUAGAUUAGUGAUGAAACAGUGACAGAGAACGUUCAUUUGCAUACCAUUAUUGUCUUUUGUCAUUCGUUAGAUUACAAAAGCACCGUUUGUGCGAUCUGUCUGUGCAAGAGGAAUUCAGCCACUGCAGAAAUAUGGACAUUUGAUACAUUCCUGAGACUAAAAGGGGGAGGAGGGCUCAAAAAGGAGAGCAGAAGUGAGAGAAUGAGAAAAAGAGAAGUGCAAGGUCUCAAAAGAGGGGGAAAAUAAUGCAUGGGGGACUAGAAACUGUCACGCAUUUCUGCAUUGCUCUUCCACUCAUAUGGUCGCUAGUGGUACAUAUCUUUUGCGUAAAGUUAGUAAACAAUGUUUCUGAGAACCCGCAGCUGGGAAGACAUGGAAUCAUUUACAUUUCUAAAGUCUGUCAAACUAGGACAUACCUUGCUUGACAGACUAACCGGUUUCCCUAGCUUGGUUAUUCAUUACCACAUUCGGGCUUGUGCUUCCCCCCCUCCCCCCCCUAUCUACUUUCAUCUGCAUUGGAGACCAGACAAGACUGAGACGAGUGGAUUUACCAUAUGGUUUCCAUAAAGACUAAAAACACGGCUAAAGUUUCAAGAAUGCAAACAGGAGGGGAGUGACUGAAAGCGGAUAUUAUAAUAAAUAUCCACUCAUCCUUUCUGACUACAUCUUUACAUCUGCCCAGUCACAACUCUGAUGUCACUACACUCAAGCCUUUCUUCCUUGCCUCCCGUCUACCCCCCGCCCCUUUUUUUUGCCAUGCACUCACUUGUCUUCCUCCGAAGCACCCAACCCCCAUUCCCCACCCUCUCCUUGGGUUUCAGAGGAAUCUCACAAAAGGUUUUUAGCACCAAGGUCCGGACGGCUGAUUAGAUAAAGCGUUCAAUAAACUUGCACACUGCAGGGGAGGAGUCCAGCACAAUGAUAAUCCUGCACAGCUGCAAAGUUAUUUUAUUGUGUGCGAGAUGAUCAUUUUGUUUGCUGUGUAACCAUAUGGGUGUGGUGAAAUUUGUCUCUGCAUUUAACCCAUCCCCGAAGGGAGCAGUGAGCAGCAGCGGUGGCGCGCCCGGGAAUCAUUUGGUGAUCUAACCCCCCAAUUCCAACCCUUAAUGGGAGGGAGUGGGUCCCAUUUUUAUAGUCUUUGGUAGCAAGUUCUCUUUCUUUCACACUUGUCUUAGGGAGAGAAGCUAUUGUGUUCAUUAUCAUAUCGAGAGACCAAAUAGAUCAUUCGCUUAUCAGAUUUGGCACGACACAUUACACUCAAUACAUAAGACAAAGGCUGACUCGUUUUAAGUACAAGGACGUAUGUCUUGUAUAUAAAAAAACAUGCUGUGGAAAUUGGAAAUAUUUAGAGCAGGGGUGUCAAACUUGUUUUUUUCACGGGCCGCAUUGUAGUCAUAGCUUCUUUCGGAGGGCCAUUAUGACUGUCAACCCAAAUAAAUGUAUGAGCACCUCAUACUAUAUACAGUAAAAGCUACAAAACAAAAUCAGAGGAGUAAAAACUGGUCAAAUAUUUAAAAUAUAAAUUAAAAGUGGAGACAAUUUGCAAUUCUAGUAGUGACACACGAAUUUGAUGCACAAUUUGUCUUGGCGGGCCACCUAAAAUGAUGUGGCGGGGCCGUAUCUGGGCCCCCGGGCCUUGAGUUUGACACCUGUGAUUUAGAGAAACACUGUACAGUGUGUGUUUUCAUAUGUGGAGCAGUCUGUGCUGUUUAUUGCCACAACACAUUGCAAGACAAAUGGACAACUUGAAGAAUCAGCACCCACAAACAUUCAGCAGUCAUACAUUCAGUCAGCCGUAGUCAUGAGACUGCGUGCGGAAAGCUAGCUCAUCAAGUUAAUAAAGCUAGCUCUGUACGUGUGGUGUUUGUUAUUGUGCAUAGCUCCAGGGCUGUGAGGUCAGUGAGGCACAAACAGAAUUUGCCUUACAACCAGCAGACCCUGUAAGAUGAGUUUUUUUUUCAAGAUAAGAAAUGGUCAAUUCAAAUGGUGAUAAAACUGGUGCUGAAAAAAUUACCUCUGAAGGCCACACCUUAGUCAGCCAGUGUUUCAAACAUGUUAUUUCUGGUGGUAAAAAAAAAAAAAAAAAAAAAGAUGAGGAAGUAACACCGCCACACCCAAAGCAAAGAUAUGCCUAAGUACUCUUUUUAAUUUUUGUUACCCUGCUAACAUCUCGAUGGGCCAUAUUGUCAUGUUGAAACGUGCUGUGGCUAGCGAUCUUUGUAUGAUUUCAUUUGAUAAAAACUACUGAGAUUUAGAAUGAAAAACUUUAUAGCGAGCAGUGUGAUUGGUUCGUUUAUUACUUCACUGGGUGCGGCCCCUUUAGGGGUAAGCGAGAAUGAAAGAGAGGAAGAGAGAGAGCGCCACCUUGAGAGUUAUUAAAAGAGUCUUUCACUGCAUUUAUGUUACCAUAAUUAAUCACAUUUUUACACUCACUAAAAAUUGUCCUGUAUAAUUAAAAUCAUUCAACUUCCUCUGUUAGCCACUGUAAGCUGAAAUGGCAUUCAUUCCCAGGCAAGACACUGUUAAAUCCGCUAAUUAUUGGCUCAUCAAAAUCUUUUAAAGAGAAACCCAGCAAGAGAAGUGCAA